This is a non-coding RNA of Aurantimonas sp., 117 nucleotides long. The record is from Rfam. Lineage: Bacteria; Pseudomonadati; Pseudomonadota; Alphaproteobacteria; Hyphomicrobiales; Aurantimonadaceae.
GGCGUAUUUUGCGAUGGCGGAGCUCGACCGCCGGUCGAAGUCAUGAUCGCCUUCAUCGACGAUCAUCGCGGGGAACACGGGGUCGAGCCGAUCUGCCAGGUGCUGCCGAUCGCCCCG